CUGUUCGCCGAUUAAAGUGGUACGCGAGCUGGGUUCAGAACGUCGUGAGACAGUUCGGCUUCUAUCUGCUGUGGGCGUUGGAAAUUUGACGAGGCCUAACCCUAGUACGAGAGGACCGGGUUGGACACACCUCUGAUGCACCAGUUGUUCCGCCCGGGGCAUUGCUGGGUAGUUACGUGUGGCAGAGAUAACCGCUGAAAGCAUCUAAGUGGGAAGCUCUCUCGAAGAUUAGAUUUCCCAACUUUUUGAGUUUGAAGAUCCGUUCAAGACUAGGACGUUGAUAGGAUGGAUGUGGAAGUGCAGUAAUGCAUGGAGCUUACCAUUACUAAUGAAUCGAUCGGCUUAUCUUA
RNAcentral lists this ribosomal RNA (350 nucleotides) under Pseudomonadota bacterium. RNAcentral describes it as "Proteobacteria bacterium partial 23S ribosomal RNA". It matches the Rfam family "Bacterial large subunit ribosomal RNA", at positions 2577 to 2925 of the family's 2925-position model. The record is from RNAcentral. Lineage: Bacteria; Pseudomonadati; Pseudomonadota.